UAAAGCAGUCGACUACCCCCUUUAUCCCUUUAUCAUUCUCUUUUUAGGGGAGGUGUCCUUGUUGUUUUUCCUUAUAAAUAGAGGCUAUAGCAAGUCUGUGAUAGGUCAUCCCCAAGUUUCUUCUCAGCACUGAAAGACUUCAUAUCUCUUUCUCUCUCUCUUGCUCCCUCUUUAAAGUUUUGCAGUUCAAAUUGGGCUAGCAGAGGGAAGCUGCUUUGGGAUCAUGCUCUUAGUUGUUCUUGAUGAAGUCAAGAAGUGGUAUGGUUUGGGAUUAUGCUUGGACCUCUGGCUAUCUAAACUAGGUGUUAAUUGGUUGAUGAACAGUUCAAUGGGAUCCAUCCAUGUGUAAUUCAGUUCUUCUCAUUCGAAGUAUAGGCUAGUUUUGAAAUGUAAUCCUGUCAAAGGAGACUGAAGUUUUAAUUCAAUUUUUCAAUUCAUAAUUCUCAUUUUCAUAGUUGAGAUCA
Long non-coding RNA from Vitis vinifera (wine grape), 464 nucleotides. RefSeq lists it as uncharacterized. NCBI's taxonomy places the organism in Eukaryota, Viridiplantae, Streptophyta, Magnoliopsida, Vitales, Vitaceae. The record is from RefSeq and is a predicted model, not a curated record. The transcript has 2 exons.